RNAcentral lists this transfer RNA (72 nucleotides) under Brachymystax lenok (lenok trout). Its description in RNAcentral is "tRNA-Val". It matches the Rfam family "tRNA". Rfam says of the family: Transfer RNA (tRNA) molecules are approximately 80 nucleotides in length. Their secondary structure includes four short double-helical elements and three loops (D, anti-codon, and T loops). The record is from RNAcentral. Lineage: Eukaryota; Metazoa; Chordata; Actinopteri; Salmoniformes; Salmonidae.
CAGAGUGUAGCUAAGACAGAAAAGCACCUCCCUUACACCGAGAAGACAUCCGUGCAAAUCGGGUCACCCUGA